AGAGUUUGAUCAUGGCUCAGAAUCAACGCUGGCGGCGUGCCUAACACAUGCAAGUCGCACGAGAAAGUGGAGCAAUCCAUGAGUAAAGUGGCGCACGGGUGAGUAACACGUGAAUGAUCUACCUCCGAGUGGGGAAUAACUGAGAGAAAUCUUAGCUAAUACCGCAUAACACUUACGAGUCAAAGCAGCAAUGCGCUUGGAGAGGAGUUCGCGGCCGAUUAGUUAGUUGGCGGGGUAGUGGCCCACCAAGACGAUGAUCGGUAUCCGGCCUGAGAGGGCGCACGGACACACUGGAACUGAAACACGGUCCAGACUCCUACGGGAGGCAGCAGUGGGGAAUUUUGCGCAAUGGGGGAAACCCUGACGCAGCAACGCCGCGUGGAGGAUGAAAUAUCUUGGUAUGUAAACUCCUUUCGAUGGGGAAGAUUAUGACGGUACCCAUAGAAGAAGCCCCGGCUAACUUCGUGCCAGCAGCCGCGGUAAUACGAGGGGGGCAAGCGUUGUUCGGAAUUAUUGGGCGUAAAGGGUGCGUAGGCGGUUUGGCAAGUCUUAUGUGAAAUCUCUGGGCUCAACCCAGAGUCUGCAUGAGAAACUGCCGGGCUUGAGUAUGGGAGAGGUGAGUGGAAUUUCCGGUGUAGCGGUGAAAUGCGUAGAUAUCGGAAGGAACACCUGUGGCGAAAGCGGCUCACUGGACCAUUACUGACGCUGAUGCACGAAAAGCUAGGGGAGCAAACAGGAUUAGAUACCCCCGUAGUCC
RNAcentral lists this ribosomal RNA (757 nucleotides) under uncultured bacterium. RNAcentral describes it as "bacterial SSU rRNA". It matches the Rfam family "Bacterial small subunit ribosomal RNA", at positions 8 to 796 of the family's 1533-position model. The record is from RNAcentral.